UACGGAGGAUCCGAGCGUUAUCCGGAUUUAUUGGGUUUAAAGGGUGCGUAGGCGGACUAGUAAGUCAGUGGUGAAAUCCUGCAGCUUAACUGUAGAAUUGCCGUUGAUACUGUUAGUCUUGAGUACAUUUGAGGUAGGCGGAAUGUGGUGUGUAGCGGUGAAAUGCAUAGAUAUACCACAGAACACCGAUUGCGAAGGCAGCUUACUAAACUGUAACUGACGCUGAAGCACGAAAGCGUGGGUAUCAAACAGGAUUAGAUA
RNAcentral lists this ribosomal RNA (261 nucleotides) under uncultured prokaryote. Its description in RNAcentral is "partial 16S ribosomal RNA". It matches the Rfam family "Bacterial small subunit ribosomal RNA", at positions 524 to 784 of the family's 1533-position model. The record is from RNAcentral.